AGGACGAACGCUGGCGGCGUGCUUAACACAUGCAAGUCGAGCGGUAAGGCCUUUCGGGGUACACGAGCGGCGAACGGGUGAGUAACACGUGGGUGAUCUGCCCUGCACUCUGGGAUAAGCCUGGGAAACUGGGUCUAAUACCGGAUAUGACCUGCUCUCGCAUGGGGGGUGGGUGGAAAGAUUUAUCGGUGCAGGAUGGGCCCGCGGCCUAUCAGCUUGUUGGUGGGGUAAUGGCCUACCAAGGCGACGACGGGUAGCCGACUGAGAGGGUGACCGGCCACACUGGGACUGAGACACGGCCCAGACUCCUACGGGAGCAGCAGGUGGGAAUAGUUGACACAAGUGGGACGAAAGCCUAGAUGCAGCGACGCCGCGGUGGAGGAUGGAAGGCCGUUCGGGUUACGUAAACCUCUUCAGCGAGGACGAAGCGACAAGGUCGACGGUACCUGACGAAGGAAGAACGACCGAACCGGUACCUAAACGUACGGU
RNAcentral lists this ribosomal RNA (489 nucleotides) under uncultured soil bacterium. RNAcentral describes it as "bacterial SSU rRNA". It matches the Rfam family "Bacterial small subunit ribosomal RNA", at positions 26 to 521 of the family's 1533-position model. The record is from RNAcentral.